RNAcentral lists this ribosomal RNA (87 nucleotides) under Glyceria triflora. Its description in RNAcentral is "partial 5.8S ribosomal RNA". It matches the Rfam family "5.8S ribosomal RNA", at positions 73 to 154 of the family's 154-position model. Rfam says of the family: 5.8S ribosomal RNA (5.8S rRNA) is a component of the large subunit of the eukaryotic ribosome. Lineage: Eukaryota; Viridiplantae; Streptophyta; Magnoliopsida; Poales; Poaceae. The record is from RNAcentral.
UGCAGAAUCCCGCGAACCAUCGAGUCUUUGAACGCAAGUUGCGCCUGAGGCCAUCCGGCUGAGGGCACGCCUGCCUGGGCGUCACGC